Molecule: ribosomal RNA, 253 nt
Filed under: uncultured bacterium
Lineage: Bacteria
Description: partial 16S ribosomal RNA
Rfam family: Bacterial small subunit ribosomal RNA
Source: RNAcentral
UACGAAGGGGGCUAGCGUUGUUCGGAAUUACUGGGCGUAAAGCGCAUGUAGGCGGAUAUUUAAGUCAGGGGUGAAAUCCCAGAGCUCAACUCUGGAACUGCCUUUGAUUCUGGGUAUCUUGAGUAUGGAAGAGGUAAGUGGAAUUCCGAGUGUAGAGGUUAAAUUCGUAGAUAUUCGGAGGAACACCAGUGGCGAAGGCGGCUUACUGGUCCAUUACUGACGCUGAGUUGCGAAAUCGAGGGGAGCAAACAGG